GAAACGGUGAUCUUUGUUUUUUGAAAAUUUUGUAUAUGCGUUUGCAAACCAUUUGUGCUUCAGGAGUCGCUCACCAAGGCAUUGCAGGGCACGAGGGUACAAUUCGGACUCAGGAUAUGCAGAUUGAUUUGGACCUAGGGAUAACAACAUUACCACUGGCAAGAUAUAUCAGGUGCUUCUAACUCGAUUUUGACGUCCUUUGCGGUGUGUAUCAUUUCCUACUUCGAACUUGAUCUUACUUAUAGUUUUUAGUUUUUGAAAAAGAUGUAAAUGUAAUAACUGAGGUUUGUAAUACGGAGGGAGACACCGUCAGUUGGUGGAAUCAUUAACCCUGGUUCUGAGGGAUUUCAGAAGCUAUUUUUCGGUCAAAAGGAAAUCGCCAUACCAAUGCACUUAAAACAUCACGCACUGCACAGCCUACUGCUGAUGUCUUAAUCAACUUUGCUUCGUACAGAAGUGCUGCCGCUUCUUCCAUGGCUGCUCUCAAGCAACCAACCAUUAGAGUUGUGGCGGUCAUUGCUGAAGGUGUACCUGAGUCAGACACU
This 545-nucleotide small RNA is filed under the name Malus domestica (apple). Its description in RNAcentral is "sRNA MD08G0016900". The record is from RNAcentral. Lineage: Eukaryota; Viridiplantae; Streptophyta; Magnoliopsida; Rosales; Rosaceae.